GUGGUAAUGCCGGAUGCUCCGACUCCUCGCAUGGGGUGUCGGGAAAGAUUUCAUCGGUAUGGGAUGGGGUCGCGUCCUAUCAGGUAGUCGGCGGGGUAACGGCCCACCGAGCCUACGACGGGUAGCCGGCCUGAGAGGGCGACCGGCCACAUUGGGACUGAGAUACGGCCCAGACUCCUACGGGAGGCAGCAGUGGGGAAUAUUGCACAAUGGGCGCAAGCCUGAUGCAGCGACGCCGCGUGCGGGAUGACGGCCUUCGGGUUGUAAACCGCUUUUGAUCGGGAGCAAGCCUUCGGGUGAGUGUACCUUUCGAAUAAGCACCGGCUAACUACGUGCCAGCAGCCGCGGUAAUACGUAGGGUGCAAGCGUUAUCCGGAAUUAUUGGGCGUAAAGGGCUCGUAGGCGGUUCGUCGCGUCCGGUGUGAAAGUCCAUCGCUUAACGGUGGAUCUGCGCCGGGUACGGGCGGGCUGGAGUGCGGUAGGGGAGACUGGAAUUCCCGGUGUAACGGUGGAAUGUGUAGAUAUCGGAAAAAAAACA
RNAcentral lists this ribosomal RNA (538 nucleotides) under Bifidobacterium pseudocatenulatum. RNAcentral describes it as "bacterial SSU rRNA". It matches the Rfam family "Bacterial small subunit ribosomal RNA", at positions 160 to 710 of the family's 1533-position model. The record is from RNAcentral. Lineage: Bacteria; Bacillati; Actinomycetota; Actinomycetes; Bifidobacteriales; Bifidobacteriaceae.